AGUUUAAGGAAAUAAUCUUAAAUGUAUUCUGCCCAGUGAUCUAUUUUAAAUGGCCGCAGUACCUUGACUGUGCUAAGGUAGCAUAAUCAAUUGGCUUCUAAUUAAAGUCUGGAAUGAAAGGAAAAAUGGGGUAAUUCUGUCUUAAGGAAUUUUUUUUGAAUUUAUUUAAAUGAUGAAAAUAUCAUUUUUUAGAAAAAAGACGAGAAGACCCUUAGAGUUUUCAAUUUUUUUUUGUUGGGGCGACAAGUAAACAAUUAAACUUUACUAGUGUAAUAAAUCGAUUUUUUAUAAGAAUAAUUAAACUACCUUAGGGAUAACAGCAUUAUAUAUUUUAUGAUUGUGACCUCGAUGUUGGACUAGGAACUUUAUGGCUAGCCGUCAAAAAAGAUUUGUUCUGUUCGAACAAUACUAUCCUAC
RNAcentral lists this ribosomal RNA (417 nucleotides) under Biomphalaria glabrata. RNAcentral describes it as "partial 16S ribosomal RNA". It matches the Rfam family "Bacterial large subunit ribosomal RNA", at positions 1828 to 2599 of the family's 2925-position model. Lineage: Eukaryota; Metazoa; Mollusca; Gastropoda; Planorbidae. The record is from RNAcentral.